Mesocricetus auratus (golden hamster) is the source of this 1292-nucleotide long non-coding RNA. RefSeq lists it as uncharacterized. Lineage: Eukaryota; Metazoa; Chordata; Mammalia; Rodentia; Cricetidae. The record is from RefSeq and is a predicted model, not a curated record. The transcript is spliced from 3 exons.
CGAGGGGCUCGCCUCCGCGUGAAUUUCAGGUUGGGAUGCAGUGUCGCCCGGGCAACCCUGCGCGAGCGCAUGCGCACAGCGAGAAACGUUUCCCCCACCCUACCCCCCCAUCAUCCUGAAACGCCCGGAAGUGGCGGCGGGGCAAUCUGGCUUCCGUACCAAUUCCUGCGCCUUACUCCGCCGCUGGGAGUUCCAUGAGGGACUUGGAGGAGAUGGAUGUCAGCAAAUGGCUGCCAGAUGUCCUGGCCUCAAUGGAGAAUGACUCCUAUCUAAAUGACAAUAGACUUGGGCCAACUACUCACUACAGAUGGAGGUCCCACCGAGAUCCGGAAAGAAGGGAAAUUGAAGAUUUACUCAAAGCCGGCCAGCAAGGGGCAGCAGCUUCGACUUUCCAUGCUCUCCUUCCUUCAACACCUGGGUCCUUCUGAAGCGACAUCGGGACCCAAAGGACCACUCUGGACCCCUCUGAAGCGACAUCAGGACCCAAAGGACCACUCUGGACUCCUCUGAAGGCACAUCGGGACCCAAAAGACCCCUUUGGACCCCUCUGAAGCGACAUCGGGACCCAAAAGACCUAUCCCAUUGCUCCCAGGGCUGCUGUCUGCUCAGCUCCGCCUCCACACGCAGUGCAGUGCUGCCGACAGUACCCCGCUAAAAGCAUCCCUCCCAUUCCUAGGUCCUCAGGUCUCAGCACCUUGACCAUGCUCCCACCCCUCCACCCCGAGGCUAGCCUCUAAUCUAGUCCUGUGUCCCUCUUGUCGUUGGACUUUCUGUGUUCCCUACCCCGUGGCCAAGGUCGUUGGUCCCUGAGGUUUACUGCUGUUACUGGCCCAGCACAACUGUUCCUGGCCCAGUGCCAAUCCGGGCGGGCUGUGGCUGCGCCGUAAGGUUCCUUUUCUUUGCACAGCCCUAUAAGGGCUCACCUCGUCCAAGGCUCCUAGGCCCUGGUCACAGUUCACCCCCAAAGACCUGUCUAGUUCUAAACUCAAAAGGCCUAACCAGCUAUUGCCCAGGGAAGCCUUGGUGACCCCUAUAGCCUCUGAAACCCCAUAACCUAAUGAGAAGGAGGAAGUCUGCCACACAAGGUGCCUGGAAGUUGCAGCAAUGUGUUCCAGACUCCUUAACCCUCAAGAGGAACUAGAGGCCCUCACCCUCUGAAUGGGGGCCGGAGAGGGGAUGGGGACCAGCCCUGCAGAUAUACAAAGGUCUUCCUUCUAUCUUAUUCACAUCCUGCCCUCCCAGACCAGCUGUCUGGAACCAACCAGCCCAGAACUUUCAGUUUGGGGUUAUUA